AGUUCUGUACUUUAAACAAAAAGAUUUGAUUUGCAAUCAACCAUUGACUCAAAAUUCCAGAACUA
Molecule: transfer RNA, 65 nt
Filed under: Sinohyriopsis schlegelii
Lineage: Eukaryota; Metazoa; Mollusca; Bivalvia; Unionida; Unionidae
Description: tRNA-Ala
Source: RNAcentral